This 253-nucleotide ribosomal RNA is filed under the name uncultured bacterium. Its description in RNAcentral is "partial 16S ribosomal RNA". It matches the Rfam family "Bacterial small subunit ribosomal RNA", at positions 524 to 776 of the family's 1533-position model. The record is from RNAcentral.
UACAGAGGUCUCAAGCGUUGUUCGGAUUCAUUGGGCGUAAAGGGUGCGUAGGUGGCGCGAUAAGUCGGGUGUGAAAUCUCGGAGCUUAACUCCGAAACUGCAUUCGAUACUGGCGUGCUUGAGGACUGGAGAGGAGACUGGAAUUCAUGGUGUAGCAGUGAAAUGCGUAGAGAUCAUGAGGAAGACCAGUGGCGAAGGCGGGUCUCUGGACAGUUCCUGACACUGAGACACGAAGGCCAGGGGAGCAAACGGG